RNAcentral lists this unclassified non-coding RNA (440 nucleotides) under Hevea brasiliensis (rubber tree). The record is from RNAcentral. Lineage: Eukaryota; Viridiplantae; Streptophyta; Magnoliopsida; Malpighiales; Euphorbiaceae.
AGAGGUUAUUAGCUAUAUUUCAAUCUAGAGCUUCUGUAGCAGAAGGUCCACUUGAUGAAGAACAUGAAAAUGAUGUGCUAAGAGUUGAAGGCUGGGAUAGUGGGGGCAUGCCGGAUGUUCUAAUGCAAUCUUCCAGCCUCUGUGAUGCUAUUGGCAUACAAUUACGGAAGAUUUGGCUUUGUAGGUAAAAAUUUUUUGAGUUGCCCACAUUGAAUUUUAUAUAAUGUUAUUCAAGAUCUAACCUCACAAUUUUCCUCCUCUCUCUUACCUUGAUAUUUAAUUGUAUCAUCUUUGUAUAUAUUUUGCUGAAAUUGGAUGCAAAUGGCAGAAGCCUGAUGUUCCCUUCUUUUAUUUAAAUGUCAUCCAGACUUCGUCUGAAAUGGAUUGUAGGUAGCUAGAAGCCUGAAGUUUCCUUCGCCAAACUACUUGUACAGAAGAUA